ACACCAGUGGUGUGUGGUACACGUGCCGGCUAAUUCUAUCAGCCCCCCAGAAAUUAGAAUACAACGGCGAGUCGGGGUUCGAUUCCCCGCUGGUGUG
Molecule: non-coding RNA, 97 nt
Organism: Mycena olivaceomarginata
Lineage: Eukaryota; Fungi; Basidiomycota; Agaricomycetes; Agaricales; Mycenaceae
Source: the annotation of a GenBank genome assembly